RNAcentral lists this ribosomal RNA (253 nucleotides) under uncultured bacterium. RNAcentral describes it as "partial 16S ribosomal RNA". It matches the Rfam family "Bacterial small subunit ribosomal RNA", at positions 524 to 776 of the family's 1533-position model. The record is from RNAcentral.
GACGUAGGGCGCGAGCGUUGUCCGGAUUUAUUGGGCGUAAAGAGCUCGUAGGUGGUUUGUCGCGUUGUUCGUGAAAUGCCACAGCUUAACUGUGGGCGUGCGGGCGAUACGGGCAGACUGGAGUACUGCAGGGGAGACUGGAAUUCCUGGUGUAGCGGUGGAAUGCGCAGAUAUCAGGAGGAACACCGGUGGCGAAGGCGGGUCUCUGGGCCGAUACUGACGCUGAGGAGCGAAAGCGUGGGGAGCGAACAGG